This 254-nucleotide ribosomal RNA is filed under the name uncultured bacterium. RNAcentral's name for it is "partial 16S ribosomal RNA". It matches the Rfam family "Bacterial small subunit ribosomal RNA", at positions 524 to 776 of the family's 1533-position model. The record is from RNAcentral.
UACGUAAGGGCCUAGCGUUGUCCAGAUUUAUUGGGCGUAAAGAGCUCGUAGACAGUUCGGCAAGUCGGAUGUGAAAUCUCCACGCUCAACGUGGAGGGGCCAUUCGAAACUACCAUGACUCGAGUCCAGUAGAGGAGUGUAGAAUUCCCGGUGUAGCGGUGAAAUGCGCAGAUAUCGGAAAGAACACCAGUAGCGAAGGCGGCACUCUGGACCGGUACUGACGCUGAGGAGCGAAAGCGUGGGGAGCGAACAGG